GGGAAUUUUGCCUCAUGCUCAAAAAUGUACCUCUAGGGGUUGAGACUUAAGGGGAGGGAGUGCCUAGUAAGAUGGGUGGAACCUGCUAUGCCUCAGGAGCAGAAAGUUUAGAGUGGCUCCCUUGGUUCUCAGCAGGGUGGCAACAUCCGGGGUCCCUGGGCCCGAGGCUGGAAGAGCCUCUGGACAGGUUUGGGAACCAUCAGGUCAGAUCUGGAAGAACUCUGGGAACUACGGGGGCACCACUAUCUGCACCAGGAAUCCCUAAAGCCAGCCCCAGUACUGGUAGAGAAGCCUCUGCCAGAGUGGCCAGUGCCUCAGUUCAUCAACCUCUUUCUACCAGAGUUUCCCAUUAGGCCCAUUAGGGGGCAGCAGCAGCUGAAGAUUUUAGGCCUCGUGGCUAAAGGCUCCUUUGGAACUGUCCUCAAGGUGCUAGAUUGCACCCAGAAAGCUGUAUUUGCAGUGAAGGUGGUGCCCAAGGUAAAGGUCCUACAGAGGGAUACCGUGAGGCAGUGCAAAGAGGAGGUUAGCAUCCAGCGACAGAUCAACCAUCCCUUUGUACACAGCUUGGGGGACAGCUGGCAGGGAAAACGGCACCUUUUCAUUAUGUGUAGCUACUGCAGCACAGAUCUGUA
Molecule: long non-coding RNA, 632 nt
Filed under: Homo sapiens (human)
Lineage: Eukaryota; Metazoa; Chordata; Mammalia; Primates; Hominidae
Description: non-protein coding lnc-KIAA0100-1:5
Source: RNAcentral